Molecule: ribosomal RNA, 468 nt
Filed under: uncultured bacterium
Lineage: Bacteria
Description: partial 16S ribosomal RNA
Rfam family: Bacterial small subunit ribosomal RNA
Source: RNAcentral
GACGAACGCUGGCGGCGUGCUUAACACAUGCAAGUCGAACGGAAAGGCCCUGCUUUUGUGGGGUGCUCGAGUGGCGAACGGGUGAGUAACACGUGAGUAACCUGCCCUUCACUUUGGGAUAACUUCAGGAAACUGGGGCUACUCCCGGAUCGGAUCUCCUGCUGCAUGGUGGGCGUUGGAAAGUUUCGGCUGGCGGGGAUGGACGCGCGGCUUAUCGGCUUGCUGGUUGGCUAGUUGCAUACCCAGCGUUUGACCGGUAGCCAGCCUGAGAGGGUGAACGGCGACAUGGGGACUGAGGGACGGCCCAGAGGCGAACGUUGGGCAGCAGGGGGGAACAUUGCCCAACGGGCGCACGCGGGAGGAAGAGGCGCCCCGGGCGGGAAGACCGCUUGCGGGGUAUAAACAGCUGUCGCUUGUGACGAAGCGGGAGUGACGGUAACGGGUGAAGAAGCACCGGCUAACUACGUG